RNAcentral lists this long non-coding RNA (3094 nucleotides) under Homo sapiens (human). RNAcentral describes it as "HSALNT0126919". The record is from RNAcentral. Lineage: Eukaryota; Metazoa; Chordata; Mammalia; Primates; Hominidae.
UAGGCUCAAGCGAUCCUUCCACCUCAGCCUCCCGAGUAGCUGGAAUUACAAGCACGCACCAUCAUGCCCAGCUAAUUUUUUUAUUUUUUGUAGAGACGAGGUCUCACUAUGUUGCCUAGGCUGGUCUCAAACUCCUGGGUUCAAGCCAUCCUCCUAUCUUGGGAUUACAGGCAUGAGCCGCUGCAUCUGGCCUCUUUUUUAAUUUUUUAAACUUGGCUCUAAGCAGCUUGGCUUCAUCUCUUGGGAAAGGUAGGUAAAUGCUUGGAUUUGGGGUGUACAUUUUAUGCUUUUAAAAUAGAGCUGGUUUUUAUGAGCUUAGAUUUUUAAAAUAUUGAGCAGUUUUGAUACACCCGGCACUGCACUAAGUGGUUUUACAUGCAUUGUCUAUGUAAUACUCACAGCUUCUCUACUGCAGUAGCUGCUGGUACUCUUCUUUGUUUACAGAUGAAGAAAUUGAAACUUAGAGAGGUAACAAAUGGGCCUAGAUCACACAGAGCCACAAAUCCACUCCAGAGUGUCUGGCCCCAGAGCCCCUUUAUUCAUUCCAACCAUCCUGCAUACACUGUGUUUGGAAGUGGACGCACAUUCCCCUGACUGCCACUGCCCAAACUCACCCCGCCAAGACUCAGGACAGCAGGCUCCUGUGUCUAACCCAACACGGACAAACACCACCUCUUCCAUAUAAGGACACUUACACUGAGGGGAAUGUUUCGGCUUGUGUCUUCUGGAUCGAAGGCCUCAACCUGGUAAAUGAAUCCAGGGUUUGCUCUUUCUACUAUGUAGAGGUGUAGACCUAGACCAGUGUCCAAAGUGGAAUAAGAAACAUCUUAUUAAAGCAAAAAUGGGGAAUUCCAAAAUCAAGGCAGCUGUACACAACCAAGGGAACCAAGGGUGUUGGCAUCGUGGGACCAAGAAUGCAAUAAAAAAAUCCAUGAGCAAGACCACUGGCCAACUUUCCUGCAUGGAUCCAUUUAGGGUAAUUCAUAAAGUGCUAGGGUUGGCCAAGCUGGUACCAAGUCUUCAUUCAUGUCCUCUGUUGAGAGGUGCCCCAGGGUGAUGCUGUUUGAGGUGGGGGAAGAAGGAGGUGAUAGGGCAGAGAGUUGGGAAGUAAACCCAGGUAGGAACCUCCGGUGUGAGGAUCCCCAUGUGCUGAAUCCAUUUUAAUGUGCAAAUCUCUCCUCAACUGUGCUGUUACCCCUUGAAGGACACUUGGCAACUCCGCAGAAAUGAGCCGUUGAAAUGAGGGAUCUUACAGUGGAACAGAGAUAAAUAGAAUAAGUAGGGGAGGGCUACAGAGGCUCAAGGGAGGAACCAAAAACUGAUUUCAUCUGUUUCAGAGUUUUUCACAGUGAUGGGGGAGGAGGGAGGAGCAGGCGGUACCAGCACUGACCAAGGGGCCACAGAGCUCUCACUCGGGCAUUUUUUCCUUCCCAGUGAUGAUGGACAAUAUGAAAAGUAACUCACUCUAUUGGGGGGCACCGUGCUGAGGACUUAACAUACAUUUUCUAUUUUCAUCUUCAUAACAGUUCUAUUAAUAUAAAGCAGGUAUUGUAUUUAUUCUUUUAGCGUAAUUAGUGCUUUUCAAAUGAGAACACUGAGACUCAGGGAAGUUAUGAAGUUGUCCUAGCUAGUAAAUGAUAGAAUCGAAAUUAAAAUCCAGAUGCCUUACAUCUGAGCUUGAGCUUUCAUUCACUUUUUAUCACUCUCAUGCUUCGUUCAAAAAAAUAUCUACUGAGCGCUCUGUCCAAACAGUGAUCUACACACUGGGAAUACAGCAGCUCACAAAACAGAACCUUACUCUCAUGCAACUUCCGUUUCCAUGGGAAGAUAUGGAUAGCAAAAUAAUUGAGGAAAAUGUGUGUAUAUUAGUGAGAAACAUUAUGAGAAAAAUUGGGGAAGGAAGUGUGAGUUGGGUUACAAUUUUAAUAAAGUGGCUAUGGAAGGUUAACUGUAGCGGGGAAGGACAUGACACUUGUCAAGAUUUUUUUUUUUUUUUUUUUUUGAGAUAGGGUCUUGCUUUGUAACCCAGGUUGGAGUGCAGUGGCACAAACAUAGCUCACUGCAGCCUCGACCUCCCAGGUUCAAGUGAUCCUCCCACCUCAGCCUCCUGAGUAGCUGGAACUACAGGUACCUGCCACCACAUCUGGCUAAUAUUGGUAUUUUUUGUAGAGAUAGGGUUUUGCCCUGUUGCCCAGGCUGGUCUUGAACUCCUGACCUUAAGCUAUACUCCCACCUCAGCCUCCCAAAGUGCUGUGAUUACAGGUAUGAGCCACUGCACCUGUCCCUAAAGAAAUGAGGAAGAGCCAGGAGAUAGGAGGGGAGGCAGAGGAAUCAGCAAAUGCAAAAUGCUGAGGUAGGGUCAUGUUUGAGGCAUUUGCAGAUCAGUAAGGGGGCCAGAGGCUGGGUCACAGGGACUGAGGGGGAGAAGGGGAAAGGAGGAGGGGUAGGAGGGUAAGGAAUGUAGGCAGCUUGCCAGAUUUAAUUGGUUCUUUUUUUUUUUUUUCUUUUUUUUUUUUGAGACAGAGUCUCGCUCUAUCACCCAGGCUGGAGUGCAGUGGAGCAAUCUCAGCUCACUGCAAGCUCCACCUCCCGGGUUCAUGCCAUUCUCCUGCCUCAGCCUCCUGAGUAGCUGGGACUACAGGCACCCGCCACUACAUCCAGCUAAUUUUUUGUAUUUUUUAGUAGAGAUGGGGUUUCACCAUGUUAGCCAGGAUGGUCUCAAUCUCCUGACCUCGUGAUCCACCUGCCUCGGCCUCCCAAAGUGCUGAGAUUACAGGCGUGAGCCACCGCGCCCGGCCUUUAAUUGGUUCUUAAGGAGACUCCCUUUGAGUGAGACGGGAAUUUCUUGUAGGGUUUUAAGCAGAGGAGUGCCUUGAUUUAACUGACGUUUUAAUAGGAUCCCUCUGACUGCAGUAUGGAAAACAGACUGCAGGGGGGCUGGGAGGCCAGCUGCCAGCCAUUGCAACAAUCCAGGGCCCUCCCUGAUGCCACUGUCUGGGCUGCAGUGCACAUCCUGGUGUAUCCUACCUUCUGCCAAGUUGCCUUGAAACUGAGGUGGCUCGUUCACAUCUGUUACCUGGACAGUCAGGACUUG